AGCAGCCGCGGUAAUUCCAGCUCCAAUAGCGUAUAUUAAAGUUGUUGCAGUUAAAAAGCUCGUAGUUGAAUUUCGGGAUCAAUUAAUUGGUCGUGCCUCUGGUACGUACUGGUUUUAUUGGUUUCUCCCUUCUGACGAACCAUGAUGUCAUUAAUUUGGUGUCGUGGAGAAUCAGGACUGUUACUUUGAAAAAAUUAGAGUGUUUAAAGCAAGCUAACGCUUGAAUACAUUAGCAUGGAAUAAUGAAAUAGGACGUUUGAUCCUAUUUUGUUGGUUUCUAGGAUCGACGUAAUGAUUAAUAGGGAUAGUCGGGGGCAUUAGUAUUCAAUUGUCAGAGGUGAAAUUCUUGGAUUUAUUGAAGACUAACUACUGCGAAAGCAUUUGCCAAGGAUGUUUUCAUUAAUCAAGAACGAAAGUUAGGGGAUCGAAGACGAUCAGAUACCGUCGUAGUCUUAACCAUAAACUAUGCCGACUAGGGAUCGGAUGAUGUUAAUUUUUUAAUGACUCAUUCGGCGCCUUA
Molecule: unclassified non-coding RNA, 520 nt
Filed under: uncultured Glomus
Lineage: Eukaryota; Fungi; Glomeromycota; Glomeromycetes; Glomerales; Glomeraceae
Description: SSU rRNA
Rfam family: Eukaryotic small subunit ribosomal RNA
Source: RNAcentral